UGUAUAUAAAACAGUGGUUUUAUAUAUAUAUAUGUAUAUGAACCAUUGUGAAUUUUUAGUUGAGUUUCAUAGUUUUGACAUCUAGAUCUAGUGUUCCUACUAAGAACUCACUAUAAAAUAUUCACUCACUCAUUCAUUCAUUCAUCCAUGCAUUUGUGUAUUCAUGCAUACAUUCAUGCAUGGUUAACUUGCUGCCUAUCACAAGUACAGCGCUUGUAGCCUUGGGUUCUGUAGGAGGAUACGAACAGUUUAACGCAUGAUCCCCAUCUUCAGGGAGCAUAUGACCUGGUGGGAAUGUGGUACAGAAGAGAAGUCAACGACAAACAGAGAGUGACUCAACUGUGCCUGAGAUGUCACAAUGCUCUGUGUGACUAUGUGUCAAGGGAAUGCCACUGAGAGUAAACAAAUGCUCUGCGUUCCUAAGAAGGAGAAAAGGCUGUGACAAAGGGAGGUUGGACAAACCCUUGGGAGGUGGCCUGCUUCUGUAUCUAACCUUGAAGCCACGAUAUGCCAAAGGAAAACCAAUGAGUCAAACAACCCCCAAAACUAAUCAAUUUGAAGAAUAUGUACAGCUGUGACGAGUGACCCCUGUGUAUUGAAGGUGAAGGACUGGAGGUUAACCCACACCUCCGAGUGACGCAGGGAGUCUGAUUCAGUAUUGUUUCCAAGACAUCGUCUAUCAGUGCUCACAGAGACCCUGCUGGCAUACACAAUGGAACGGAACCUUUCUAGCAUGAGAUACGGCUCCACGGGCUCAUCUGCUUCGCGACAGAAGAGCAGUGCCCAGUGGCUGCAGGAGAACAGAGAACUCGUGGGGCUGAUCCAGGAAGAAGCGGAAUGAAAAUGGAGGGUGCACGUUUCGAUUUUUAGCAAUCGGUUCCUCUCAGACUCUCUCCCUCCCCCAAAACACGCACGGGCAUGGUGCUUAGCAUUCUGUUUAAUUCUGCUACUUCCCCAUACGCCGUGUGUCACUGUGCUCUUUUCAGCUGCUUCCUUGCAUUGGCUUUGAGAGAGUUUGGUCCCAGGAGUAGGUAGAAUAACACAGCACGUGACACUCUUUUCCUAAAGGACUCAGCAAGUGACCACUGAGAUGUGCAGGGAAGAAUGCAUUCUCUGAAACUGACAUAGUUAUCCCAUAUGACACACUGGUCUCAGGUAUAGAAACUUCUACAAUCCCACGGCUUCUAACAGUCACAAAGAUUCCUGGGGCCAUUUAGUUCCUGCCUAAAUACUCCUAGCUCAUGUUAUGGAAGAUCUGACACUAGAUGGAAUGAAUUUUUUGAGUAUAUAAAACAGUACAAGUUUCUCCCUUAGCCAGUCAGCCCAUUCUGAGUAAAGAAGGUAUUUUACUGCUACUGUCUGAAGGAAAUUUCCCGGCCUGUAUCUUCUAAUGGUGCAAGGACUCCAGGCUAAUUCAGUGCAGGGCCACGUUCAGACACACACAAACCCGUCUUCCACUCUCUCUGCUACCAUCGGGUCCUGAUUGUGGUCACAGGUGACAUCACUCAUAAGCACAGUCAAACUAGAGGCCAGUUAAAUACCUGUGGCCUGACCUCAUGCAUAAGGCCUCAGCUGUAGCCAGGUUUUUAACACUGGGAAAUUCUGACAGAACGGAGCGACUCAUUCCAUUUGAGCUAGAGGAGGAAACAGUAGCCGAAGACACUGAAGAGAAACCCUGAGGUGGAGUUCAAGCAGAGGUGUCAUGGUGACCUGAAACUAUGAAGCAGCAAAGCUGAGUUUGUAAACAGUCAGAGAUUGCUCUUAUAACUUUUCCUAUGAUGUAGUCUGGAAUGAAGCCGGGGAUGAAGAGAAAAAAGUAGAUCAGUAGGGUCAGGUGACAGGGCUCACCCAUCUCGGAAAAGUCCCUAGUGUGGCAUCCAGUUGUCUCUGGUUCACACAGACUGAUUCGCACAACUUCCUGGUCCAGUUUCAUGCUCAGAAAUAUAAGGAGUGGUUCUGAUGCUUUGACUUAAUUGGGAAUCUGUGUUUAUUGAUGCUGAAAGUCCUUGCUCCCAAUUGAUUUUUGAUCUAUCAAUAAAAAUACCAGUGGCCAAUGGCAGGGCAGAAAGAGGUGGGACUUCCAGGUUCCCGCAGGUGAGGAGAGAGGAGAGGGCAGGAAGAGGAGAAUCGAGCUAAUUGGGGCAGAGAGAUGGAGCAGACUCAGAGCUACAGGGGAGAUCUUCCAAAAUGUAGGCCGAAAGAGAAAGUGGCCCAUAAAAGGGCAGUCCCGAAGCGUCUUGGGCAGUAAGACCAAUGGGCUUCCCAGAAGGUAACCAGGCAACCGAGCUGAGGGAAGAGUGAGAGAUGUUGAGCCUGGAGUAAAGACUAAAGAAGGAAACCGAAACAAAACUGGGGCUGAUAAUAAGGUUUAGAAGGAAAGACGGUGCUGAGCAGGGGACACAUGUGCCUGAGAGAUGGCAGGGCCUGCCAGAGAAAGGAAUCAUUAACCACCAUAAAGUUCAGAGAGGGAAGAAAAAGACAAAGAAAACAGGGCUAUUCAUGUGUUGCUGACUGCCUUUGAAGCUAAGUCUUCUUCUGUGUCUUCUCAUAUUUCCUUGAUCCAGCAACACUGGGUUUCCUUGAGCCUCUGUUAAUGGUCACAGGUCGUGAAGAUCAACCUUUUUGCACCAGGGAAUAUCAUUGGCCUCUCUUUAGCAAGGAGAAAGAAGCUGAUCUCGGGUUGAUGUAACUGUGCAUCACAAGGACUUAGAAAAGCAGGAAGAGACAACUUUGCUUUUCUAGGACUAAUCUAAUGGUCACCACAAUUCACAAAUGCAUGCGCUCAAGAGGAAAGGCUGGAUUUGUUUUUUCUACUCAACCACAAUGAAACAUAAUGAGAAAGAGGGUGACUCAAGAUGAACUUGCUGGAAGAGUCUGUGCUCUGAGGGUCUCAGACUCAGAUGUGGUUCCAAGGACGAGUCUAUCUAUGUCGUUUGGAGAAGAAGCUGAAAGAACUCUUAUUCUCCCAGUCUCAAAAGGACCCUGCAGGAAGGCAGAGCCACUUAGAAGCCAGGAAAAGGACUCUACUGGGAAACUGAACUAGCAGACACCUUGAUCUUGGGCUUGCUAGCCUCACAACUGUGAAAAAUACAAACCUGUUGUUUAACCUA
Molecule: long non-coding RNA, 3110 nt
Organism: Rattus norvegicus (Norway rat)
Lineage: Eukaryota; Metazoa; Chordata; Mammalia; Rodentia; Muridae
Source: RefSeq, a predicted model, not a curated record